ACUGAACGCUGGCGGAAUGCUUUACACAUGCAAGUCGAACGGCAGCACGGACUUCGGUCUGGUGGCGAGUGGCGAACGGGUGAGUGAUGUAUCGGAACGUGCCCAGUCGUGGGGGAUAACGUAGUGAAAAUUACGCUAAUACCGCAUACGAUCUAUGGAUGAAAGCGGGGGAUCGCAAGACCUCGCGCGAUUGGAGCGGCCGAUAUCAGAUUAGGUAGUUGGUGGGGUAAAGGCCCACCAAGCCAACGAUCUGUAGCUGGUCUGAGAGGACUACCAGCCACACUGGAACUGAGACACGGUCCAGACUCCUACGGGAGGCAGCAGUGGGGAAUUUUGGACAAUGGGCGAAAGCCUGAUCCAGCCAUUCCGCGUGCAGGAUGAAGGCCCUCGGGUUGUAAACUGCUCUUGUACAGAACGAAAAGGUUUCUACUAAUACUAGGAGCUCAUGACGGUACUGUAAGAAUAAGCACCGGCUAACUACGUGCCAGCCGCCGCCGUAA
Molecule: ribosomal RNA, 500 nt
Filed under: uncultured bacterium
Lineage: Bacteria
Description: partial 16S ribosomal RNA
Rfam family: Bacterial small subunit ribosomal RNA
Source: RNAcentral